GGAAGCGUGGCGGAGAGGUAACGCGCCGCAUUGCUAAUGCGAGGCCCGGACGCCAGUCCGGCGGGGGUUCAACUCCCUCCGCUUCCGCCA
This 90-nucleotide transfer RNA is filed under the name Mycobacterium koreense. RNAcentral describes it as "Mycolicibacillus koreensis tRNA-Ser". It matches the Rfam family "tRNA". Rfam says of the family: Transfer RNA (tRNA) molecules are approximately 80 nucleotides in length. The record is from RNAcentral. Lineage: Bacteria; Bacillati; Actinomycetota; Actinomycetes; Mycobacteriales; Mycobacteriaceae.